RNAcentral lists this long non-coding RNA (6248 nucleotides) under Sorghum bicolor (sorghum). RNAcentral's name for it is "long non-coding RNA (SBIC_LNC001636)". Lineage: Eukaryota; Viridiplantae; Streptophyta; Magnoliopsida; Poales; Poaceae. The record is from RNAcentral.
CGACACUGACUGGGAGUACUAAUCUGUAGUGCCGCAUCGUCACAAUCUUGGCGAGCGAGAGAGAGAGAGAGAGAGAGAGACAGAGAGAGAGGAUGGGCUCCAUGGGAGGACCGGCGAGCGGGUCCGCGGCGCCUGAGCGGGACAUCGACGAUCUGCCGCGGAACGACGCCAACUACACGGCGCUCACGCCGCUCUGGUUCCUCGAGCGCGCGGCGCUGGCGCAGCCGGGCAGGGCGUCCGUCGUGCACGGCCCCGUGCGCUACACCUGGGCCGACACCUAUCGCCGCUGCCGCCGCCUCGCAUCCGCCCUCGCGCGCCGAUCCGUCGGCCACGGAAGCACGGUGAAUUUACUCGAUUUCCUUCUGUGGUUUCUAUUUUCUCCAUUUUUUUAUACACAGUAGUAAUUUAUUAUAAUUUAUUAAGGUCGAUGUUUUCUCCCCUAAAGCAUAUAAACUCGUGGACUGUGUCCGGAUUUUUUGGGGGUACUUUUAAUUAUAUGAGUUGUGCACUAACAAUAGAGUAAAAAAGUUAAUUUUCAAUUCUGCUACCAUGGAGAUUUGGACGGGACCAGAGUGUACAGUGAUUAGAAUUUCAGUACCUUUUUAUAUGCAAGAUGAGCCGUUUGCGACAAUCAGGAGGCCCUUUUCCUGAUUGCUACCUUUGCAAGUAGGAUAUAUAGUCUUUGUAUUUUAAAAAAGUAGAAAAAAAACUGGUGUGUUAUAUGUAGUUAUCCCCAUGUUAACUUAUUUAUUCAGUUCUUCAUUUUUUUUAAAUGUAGUUUUCUGAUUGCUGUAUAUUCGUGUAAUCGUGUUGCAUCUUAAUAGGCAUUAAUGUUAUGAUCAGCCGUGAUACGUUUCCCUGCUCUUCCGCUAUGUAGUAGUUACCCUUUGUUAUCUAGUAUAAGCAGCCAAAGCAGGUGAUCUUCCCUGUUUAUAAGGUGCUAUUUAUGUUGGAUUACCUAUUCCAGAUAGAUUCGUUUGUGUAGGCAGGAUGUAGUGGAAUUGUCUAGUCCAGAUCAGUAGCAAGUGGCUGCAGAUUGUUGCAUCUUUUUUCGCCAACUAGUAAAUUGUGGUAUACCCUUGCUUUUAGAAGGUGCCUGAACUGAUGUUACUCUAUGCUUUGCUCAGCAAAAUGAAAUAUGGCAAUCCUACUGUUUCUAGUCAAAAUAAGAUAAGCUUAUCUUAUUCUUGUCUUGUGCAUGACACUGGACUCUGUCUCUGUCACUCUGUGAGACUUAAGACUACAAAAUAAAAACACAUCCAACCUUGUAGCAGAAAAAAGGCAUUCCUGAUUCCUCGCAAAGAAAAAAAAAACUUGUCGAAUGACGAUCUAUAUAUUUUUAAAUGAUGUUUAUAUUUAAUUUGUGUUGCCACUGCACAUCUACAACAAAACUAAUUUUUAUAAAAUUAACUGGUGACCCAUUUAGCUACUAACAUAAACACUCUGGUUACGUAGUUCCUAGGGUAUUACUUACCGUAUUCCGGUGCCCUUUUACAUUUUUAUAAAGAAACAGAUAUUUAUUUCUUAUCUUUAUACAUAUUUUGCUUUACUGAUAUCGACUGAUUUGUUUUUGGUUUCUUUAGGUUGCUGUGAUAGCCCCUAAUGUCCCAGCUGUCUAUGAAGGUCACUUUGGUGUCCCAAUGUCAGGAGCUGUUGUGAACUGCGUCAAUAUUCGGUUAAACGCUGAGACAAUAGCAUUCCUCCUUGAACACUCUGUGGCAGAAGUUGUUAUGGUAGACCAAGAAUUCUUCACCCUAGCUGAAGAAUCACUAAAGAUAAUUGCCAAGAAGAAGACAUCGGCUUUCAGGCCUCCAAUCUUGAUCGUCAUCGGUGACCCAACCUGUGAUCCAAAGUCUCUACAGUAUGCUCUAGGAAAGGGUGCUAUAGAGUAUGAAGAGUUUCUGAAAACUGGUGACCCAGAGUUCAAUUGGAAGCCACCAAAGGAUGAAUGGCAGAGCAUCGCCCUAGGCUACACUUCUGGGACUACUUCCAGCCCAAAAGGCGUCGUGUUGCAUCACCGUGGUGCUUAUCUCAUGGCACUCAGUGUUGCCAUUGUGUGGGGAAUGCCUGAAGGGGCUGUCUAUUUGUGGACUCUGCCCAUGUUCCAUUGUAAUGGUUGGUGCUAUACUUGGGCGCUGGCAGCCUUCUGUGGAACAAGCAUAUGUCUUCGCCAGGUAUGUUAACCAUUUAUGUCCUGGACGACACUUUGGUCCUAAAUUUAUGUAUGAAUUUAUUAUGCAGGGUACAUUUAAUUUUAGCUACAUAUACUCAAUUAUUUGGUGAAAAAACAAGAACACUUUGCAUACAAUUCGUUUGAGCUCUGGUGAUUAUGAUUUCUGAAACACCAUUUUGCACUUUGCAGGUGAGCACAAAGGCUAUAUACGAAGGCAUUACCAAGCAAGGAGUGACACACUUCUGUGCCGCACCUGUCGUCCUCAACAACCUGAUCAACGCUCCGGCAAGCGAGACAUUCCUGCCGCUGCCCCACGUCGUCAAUGUCAAUGUGGCCGGAGCCGCCCCGACGCCGUCCUUGCUGGCUGCACUGUCCAUCCGCGGCUUCCGCGUGACGCACACGUACGGCCUGUCAGAGACCUACGGCCCCUCGACGGUGUGCGCGUGGAAGCCCGAGUGGGACGAGCUGCCGCUGGAGGAGCGGUCCCGCCUGCACUGCCGGCAGGGGAUCAGGUACAUCGCGAUGGAGGGCCUGGACGUCGUGGACCCGAAGACGAUGGCGCCCGUCCCGGCCGACGGCAAGUCGUACGGCGAGAUCGUGCUGCGGGGCAACGCCGUGAUGAAGGGGUACCUCAAGAACCCCAAGGCAAACGCGGAGGCGUUCGCGGGCGGGUGGUACCAUUCGGGCGACCUCGGCGUGAAGCACCCCGACGGGUACGUGGAGGUGAGGGACCGGAUGAAGGACGUGAUCAUCUCGGGAGGGGAGAACAUCAGCAGCCUGGAGGUGGAGAAGGUGGUGUGCACGCACCCGGCGGUGCUCGAGGCCUCGGUGGUCGCCAGGGCCGACGAGCGGUGGGGCGAGUCGCCGUGCGCGUUCGUGACGCUCAAGGACGGAGCAGCCGAUGGGUCGGACGAGGCGGCGCUGGCCAACGACAUCAUGCGAUUCUGCCGGGAGAGGAUGCCGGGGUACUGGGUGCCCAAGUCGGUGAUCUUCGGGCCGCUGCCCAAGACGGCCACGGGGAAGAUCAAGAAGCACGAGCUGAGGGCCAAGGCCAAAGAGCUCGGCCCUGUGAUUGUGAAGAAGAGCAGGAUGUGAGAGAUCUGGGGCGAUAGCGUGUCAUUGGGCAAGGACUCAGAAUCUUGCUCGAAGUCGUCGUGCAUACAAAAUUCCUGAGUUCUGAAGAGGCCUAAUAACUUGAGUGCUUUGCUUGUAUCGUUCUGAAACCAGAAGUUCAGAUCAGAUUCGGUAUAUAAGUAAGAACUGAGAUAAAUUUGUAUAGUGGUUUGGAGGCAGCAUAUGCUGAGGAGAUGACGUUUCUUGAGAAGAAUUAGCGCCAAAGGUCGCGUGCGCGCGCCUGUAGUAAUCCUGAUGUUUCCGACGUCCGUCCGUUCUGGGCUUCUGCUCAUGUUGGAAGAACAGGUCACACACAGGGCGCAUGGUUUGGGUUUCGUUUCGUGAAGGCGACCGAUAAGAUCCUUCUCAAUCUUCACUUGCAGUCAUGGCGACAAAAUUGGCAAUAGAAUCCGAUAGUUAUGUCAGUUGCGGUUCUUUUUUCUUCUUUUUUGGAGAAAGAAAAUGCUGCGUUUUUCGAAGCCGCGACGUGUUCAACGAGAGCUAUCUCCGGAGUGCUGCUUCAAACCUUACCUUGCUAUAGUACUGGCUGUUUCCAACAAAUUUUCUCCACCGCGAGUUAAGCGUGACGACAAAACCCAAAAGCUCCCGAGCAAUCGAGAGGUCCGGCAAAAAGCGACGUUUCGAGCCAACGCUAAUCUGAGAAGGACGUUUAGAUUUCUUCAAGAUUCUAAAAGUCUAUAAGAUUUCUUAUUUAAACAUAUGUAUGAAGCAUUAAAUAUAGACAAAAACUAAUUGUACAACCUAUAAUUUGCAAGACGAAUCUUUUAAGUUUAGUUAGUCCAUAGUUAAACAAUAACUAUCAAAUACAAAUGAAAAUACUAUAUCAAAAUCUAAAAAGAUUUUGGAUCUAAACAAGGCCUUAGUGUGGUUUCGUCGGCAUCAUAAAAAAUAGAGUUUGUUGCAUUUCUUUAGAUGCUCUAAUAACUUUACUAUUUCUUUCUCGAAUAACAUACGUAAAAGUGAAAUCAUUUGACUUAAAAAAACACGAAACAGAGCUAAAAUACGUGAAAAUAGGGCAGUCUCAAACAUCCCUGUAUUCUGCCAUAAUUUCAUUGCUCGAAAAAAACAUGAUGUGUGGCGUUUCGAUUGUUUUAGAGAGUUUUUUAAAGUUUUACCAAAAUUAUAGUAAAAAUUAUAAAGAUCUAUGACAUCAAAUUUAAAAUAUAAUUAAUAAUGAAUCUAGUAUUGGUAUCUUAGAUGUUAUUAUUUUAUUACAUAAAUUUGGUCAAACUUGAUACGUUUUGACUCUAAAAAAUUAAAAUAACUUAUAGAUGAAGGGAGUAGUCAUCUCCCGGAGUUUGGUACAACUUUCUAUCUCAAAUUUUUAGCAAAAAGAGAAAAAAAAAUCCUCUCCAACAAUUUAGCAAAAGAAGUAGUUAAAAAUAAAAAGUUGUUAAAUAUCCUCUUCAACUCACAAGUUUGCAAAGUGGAGAAAACUCCUUUUUCCUCUAGUAAAAGAUAUGAUUGGUUCUAUAAACCAAAAAACAACAAAUAAAUAUGAACCCUACUAUAAAUUUUUAAAUUUUAGAAAGCUAUUAUUGGUUACUGUUGGAGAAGAACAAAAUUUAUAAUUGUUAUUUCUUUUAUUAACUUGCUAGACCUAUUGAUUUAGUAAGUAAAUUGUACUAAACUCUUGGAGAUACCCCCUCAAUUCUAGUUCUAGGUAUAAGUUUCGAAGUUUCUUGUCAAUUGUAAGGUAGUUUAAAUACCUAAUAACCGUAUUCAUGCAUGUGUAUGCUUUGAGCCUCAUCCAUGCAUAUCUUUUGAAUAUCGUUUUGGCCUUGUUUACUUCCACCCCAAAAUUCAAAAUUUUUUAAGAUUCUCCGUCACAUCGAAUCUUUAGAUACAUGCAUAGAGUAUUAAAUGUAGACAAAAAUAAAAACUAAUUCUAUUGUUUGGUCGGAAUUUACAAGACGAAUCUUUUGAACCUAGUUAGUCCUUGGUUGGACAAUAAUUAACACAAACAAACGAAAAGUGAUACAGUGUCGUGAAAUUUUUCCCUUAAAGAACUAAGGCCUUGUUUACUUCCAAAAAAUUUUGCAAAAUAGGAAUAGUAGCAUUUUCAUUUGUAUUUGACAAAUAUUGUCCAAUUAUAGAUUAACUAGGCUCAAAAGAUUCAUCUCGUAAAUUCUAAUUAAACUGUGUAAUUAGUUUUUAUUUUCAUCUAUAUUUAUAAUACUCCAUGCAUACGUCUAAAGAUUCGAUGUGACGGGAAAUCUGAAAAAUUUUGCAAAAUUUUUAGAGAACUAAACAAGGCCUAAACACGGCUUAUAGAUAACUGUUGCCAUAUGACAGAUAUCAAUCACUUGAUCAAUCCAGCAAUAACCCUUCUUUUUUUGGUUGAUUGAGGAGGCCAGCUCUUCUACCACCAUGCAAUUCAUGCAUUCCUGAAUAUACUUGAAUAGCAAUCGCCAUCUAAGGAUCCGUCUAUCUACCACCAAAAACUGGACGCCUGUCCACACCGCCCAUAAACAAACAGCAGAAAUUCCCGAAAUCCAACCGGAACGGAUCAGCCUCGGCGUUAGCCACCACCCGCCGGCCGCCGCCUAGCGCCACCCACCAACCUUCCCCGCACAGACGCCGUGCGCACUGCGCCGCCGCCAUUAAAAAACCCGAGCCACGGGCAGCGCCCGGCAGAUCCCCACCGCCCGCUCCUCAUCUCCGACCUCCCCCGCACCACGGGAUCGACCCGGCGCGCGCCAGCUGCAGCGGCUGUCCAAAAACACACAUAAAAAACGGCAAAGCGAAGCGCCCCACUUGUUCGGACGACUCUGCGCGCUCCGGAUCCCACCCCCACACACAAGUCAAAGUCACGCCUCAGCUCUGCCGAGGCCGGCAUUGGUGGUGUGGUGCGCGGCGGAGAUGGCGGCGGAGCGGGACAUCGACGACCUGCCGCGGAACGACGCCAACUACACGGCGCUCACGCCGCUCUGGUUCCUCG